Long non-coding RNA from Leptidea sinapis, 650 nucleotides. RefSeq lists it as uncharacterized. The record is from RefSeq and is a predicted model, not a curated record. Lineage: Eukaryota; Metazoa; Arthropoda; Insecta; Lepidoptera; Pieridae. The transcript is spliced from 4 exons.
CCGUGCAGGCGGCGGAGCUGGACCGGCCCGGCUACGUGCUGGCGCUGCUGCAGGCCGCCGACCCCGACGGAGACGCGCUCUACUACGACAUAGUGGGAGGCGACCCCGAGCACUCGUUCGUGGUGGGCCGCGAGGACGGCAGCCUGGUGGUGGCGCGGCGCCUGCGCUGGGAGCGCGCGCCCGCCUACCUGCUCACCGUGGCCGUCACCGACGGCCGCCACACCGCGCACCAGGCCGUCAACGUCACCGUGGUGAACGACGCCACCGAGGGCGGCGUGUGGUUCUCGCGCGCCGUGUACUCCGCGGAGGUGGCGGAGGGCGCGGCCCCUGGAGCGCGGCUGCUGCGCGUGGAGGCGGGGCCGCGGGGCGGCGCCGGGGGCGUGGCCGAGGGCGGCGCCGCGCGUCUUCUGUACGGGCUGCGGGACGCGCGCCGCCCAUCGGACCUGGAGCUGUUCCGGCUGCACGAGUUGACCGGCGAGCUGGAGCUGGCCAAGCCUCUGGACAGGCAGAGCGACGCCGUCCACGAGCUGACCGUGUGGGCGCGGGACCAGGCGCCGCGCGCGUCCGUGUCGCUCGCGCGCGUCGCGGUGCGCGUGCGUGGCGCCCCGGCCGCGCCGGCGUGGGGGCGCCGCCAGUGGGAGGCGCGCGUG